UGGGCGAAAGCCUGAUCCAGCAAUGCCGCGUGAGUGAUGAAGGCCUUAGGGUUGUAAAGCUCUUUUACCCGGGAUGAUAAUGACAGUACCGGGAGAAUAAGCUCCGGCUAACUCCGUGCCAGCAGCCGCGGUAAU
This 135-nucleotide ribosomal RNA is filed under the name Sphingomonas sp. 7(9-1)(5.21). RNAcentral describes it as "partial 16S ribosomal RNA". It matches the Rfam family "Bacterial small subunit ribosomal RNA", at positions 372 to 524 of the family's 1533-position model. RNAcentral also lists the same sequence under 3 other names. Lineage: Bacteria; Pseudomonadati; Pseudomonadota; Alphaproteobacteria; Sphingomonadales; Sphingomonadaceae. The record is from RNAcentral.